Molecule: small nuclear RNA, 164 nt
Organism: Manis pentadactyla (Chinese pangolin)
Lineage: Eukaryota; Metazoa; Chordata; Mammalia; Pholidota; Manidae
Product: U1 spliceosomal RNA
Exons: 1
Source: RefSeq, a predicted model, not a curated record
AUACUCACCCAGCAAGGGUGAUGCCAUGAUCACGAAGGUGGCUUUCCCAGCGCGCGGCUCAUCCGCUGCCCUCUGGGUGUGCGGACCCCUGCAAAUUCCCCAAAUGUAGGAAACUCCACUGCAUGAUUUGUGGUAGUGGGGGACCAUAUUCGCGCUUGCCCAUG